RNAcentral lists this ribosomal RNA (451 nucleotides) under uncultured bacterium. Its description in RNAcentral is "partial 16S ribosomal RNA". It matches the Rfam family "Bacterial small subunit ribosomal RNA", at positions 354 to 796 of the family's 1533-position model. The record is from RNAcentral.
GUGGGGAAUAUUGGACAAUGGGGGGAACCCUGAUCCAGCCAUGCCGCGUGUGUGAAGAAGGCCUUUUGGUUGUAAAGCACUUUAAGCGAGGAGGAGGCUACCGAGAUUAAUACUCUUGGAUAGUGGACGUUACUCGCAGAAUAAGCACCGGCUAACGCUGUGCCAGCAGCCGCGGUAAUACAGAGGGUGCAAGCGUUAAUCGGAUUUACUGGGCGUAAAGCGCGCGUAGGUGGCCAAUUAAGUCAAAUGUGAAAUCCCCGAGCUUAACUUGGGAAUUGCAUUCGAUACUGGUUGGCUAGAGUAUGGGAGAGGAUGGUAGAAUUCCAGGUGUAGCGGUGAAAUGCGUAGAGAUCUGGAGGAAUACCGAUGGCGAAGGCAGCCAUCUGGCCUAAUACUGACACUGAGGUGCGAAAGCAUGGGGAGCAAACAGGAUUAGAUACCCCGGUAGUCC